GAGUGAAGCGGAACAGCUCAAAUUUGAAAGCUAGCUCUUUUAGGGUUCGCAUUGUAAUUUGUAGAAGAUGCUUCGGGUGUGGCCCCGGUCUAAGUUCCUUGGAACAGGACGUCAUAGAGGGUGAGAAUCCCGUAUGUGACUGGGUGCUUUCGCUCAUGUGAAGCUCUUUCGACGAGUCGAGUUGUUUGGGAAUGCAGCUCAAAAUGGGUGGUAAAUUUCAUCUAAAGCUAAAUAUUGGCCAGAGACCGAUAGCGCACAAGUAGAGUGAUCGAAAGAUGAAAAGCACUUUGGAAAGAGAGUUAAACAGUACGUGAAAUUGUUGAAAGGGAAGCGCUUGCAACCAGACUUGCGCGCUGAUGAUCAUCCGGGCUUCUGCCCGGUGCACUCGUCUGCGCUCAGGCCAGCAUCGGUUUCGGUGGUGGGAUAAAGGCCUUGGGAAUGUAGCUUCUUUCGGGGAGUGUUAUAGCCCUCGGUGCAAUGCCGCCUACCGGGACCGAGGACCGCGCUUCGGCUAGGAUGCUGGCGUAAUGGUUGUAAGCGACCCGUCUUGAAACACGGACCAAGGAGUCUAACAUCUAUGCGAGUGUUUGGGUGUCAAACCCAUACGCGUAAUGAAAGUGAACGGAGGUGAGAACCCUUAAGGGUGCAUCAUCGACCGAUCCUGAUGUCUUUCGGAUGGAUUUGAGUAAGAGCAUAGCUGUUGGGACCCGAAAGAUGGUGAACUAUGCGUGAAUAGGGUGAAGCCAGAGGAAACUCUGGUGGAGGCUCGCAGCGGUUCUGACGUGCAAAUCGAUCGUCAAAUUUGCGUAUA
This 811-nucleotide ribosomal RNA is filed under the name Cadophora sp. RNAcentral describes it as "partial large subunit ribosomal RNA". It matches the Rfam family "Eukaryotic large subunit ribosomal RNA", at positions 91 to 919 of the family's 3401-position model. Lineage: Eukaryota; Fungi; Ascomycota; Leotiomycetes; Helotiales; Ploettnerulaceae. The record is from RNAcentral.